GCACCUACGGGACGCAGCAGUAGGGAAUCUUCCACAAUGGACGAAAGUCUGAUGGAGCAACGCCGCGUGAGUGAAGAAGGGUUGCGGCUCGUAAAGCUCUGUUGGUAGUGAAGAAAGAUAGAGGUAGUAACUGGCCUUUAUUCGACGGUAAUUACUUAGAAAGUCACGGCUAACUACGUGCCAGCCGCCGCGGUAAUACGUAGGUGGCAAACGUUGUCCGGAUUUAUUGGGCGUAAAGCGCGUGCAGG
Molecule: ribosomal RNA, 248 nt
Filed under: uncultured bacterium
Lineage: Bacteria
Description: partial 16S ribosomal RNA
Rfam family: Bacterial small subunit ribosomal RNA
Source: RNAcentral